GACGAACGCUGGCGGCGUGCUUAACACAUGCAAGUCGAACGGAAAGGCCCUGCUUUUGUGGGGUGCUCGAGUGGCGAACGGGUGAGUGACACGUGAGUAACCUGCCCUUGAAUUUGGGAUAACUUCAGGAAACUGGGGCUAAUACCCGAUAGGAGCUCCUGCUGCAUGGUGGGGAUUGGAAAGUUUCGGCGGUUAGGGAUGGACUCGCGGGUUAGCAGCUUGUUGGUGGAGUAGUGGAUUACCAAGGAUUUGACGGGUAGCCGGCCUGAGAGGGUGACCGGCGACACUGGGCCUGAGAUAGGGCACAGACUCCUACGGGAGGCAGCAGUGGGGAAUAUUGCCCAAUGGGCGCAAGCCUGAUACAGAAACGCCGCGAGCGGAAAGACCGCUUUCCGGUUGUAAACCGAUUUCGCUUGGGCCGAGGAGUGAGUGACGGUACUGGGUCAAGAAGCACCGGCUAACUACGUG
This 468-nucleotide ribosomal RNA is filed under the name uncultured bacterium. Its description in RNAcentral is "partial 16S ribosomal RNA". It matches the Rfam family "Bacterial small subunit ribosomal RNA", at positions 28 to 507 of the family's 1533-position model. The record is from RNAcentral.